Molecule: ribosomal RNA, 251 nt
Filed under: uncultured prokaryote
Description: partial 16S ribosomal RNA
Rfam family: Bacterial small subunit ribosomal RNA
Source: RNAcentral
ACGUAGGAGGCGAGCGUUAUCCGGAUUCACUGGGCGUAAAGCGCAUGCAGGCGGUUGGCUAAGUUGGGUGUGAAAGCUCCUGGCUCAACUGGGAGAGGUCGCUCAAGACUGGCGAACUAGAGGACGGUAAGGGGAAGCGGAAUUCCGGGUGUAGUGGUGAAAUGCGUAGAUAUCGGGAGGAACACCAGAGGCGCAAGCGGGUGCCUGGGCGACGACUGACACUGAGGGACGAAAGCGUGGGGAGCGAACAG